AGCACACUGGCCAGCACCAUACAUCACAUUUUGAAUCUUUCCUUUGAGGAAUUGUCAGACGAAAAGAGCGGCUAAUUUUAUCUUGAGUUAUAACAUCAAUUCCUUUCACUCUCAGUGAUGAUGAAGAUUCACCUAAACUACAGCAUACAGAGAAAAUAAGGAGGAAGAUGACUAUAACCAUUAUUGGUAACCUUCAUGCUUAUAUUGCUAAUUAGUUAAGAACAGAUACAGAGAAAAUAAGGAAGAAGAUGUCUAUAACCAUUGCUUUGGUAAUCUCAUACUUAUAUUGCUAAUUAGUUAAGAUUUAGUGGUUGUGUUAAACUUGCUAUUGUGAAACAAAUUAUAUAUAGAGAGCUUGAGAUUAUUGUUAUCAAUCCUAUACUUAGGGCUGCCAAAUUUGGCCCAAGCCCAUAUGACAUGGCCAAAGUUGGGCUGAUUAUUUACCUGCCCAUUUAUUGAAGAGGAAAUUUUAUAAAUGUUCAAUAUUAAGUAAAAUAUUGCAAAAUCUUAGUAGAAUUAAUGAAUUGAAUAAAGUUGAAGAGGAAGUUUUAUAUCUGUUCAAUAUUUAGUAAAAUGUUGCAAAAUCUUAGUAGAAUUAAUGAAUUGACAAAAGUAGCAGCAAAACAUUUACAUUCCAGUCCAUAACGGAAUUGUAGACCAUGAAUCACGCUUGUACCAAUCUUUUUAUAUUUUGUAGCUAAUAAAAGAUUAUUGCUCCUAUUUUGGCUGAAAUAAUUUAUUCUUAAGUUACUGCAACGGUUCCUUCCAUACAUGGACUGAUAUUUUCCACCAUUAAAAUCUAGCAAAAUAAAUUUUUUGGGUAUAAAAUCUAUAACUUUGUCUCUAUUAUAAAACCUAUUUAUUUAUUUGUUUACCUUAUACAUUUUGUAUAUUAUGAAAGUUUAUAUUGCACAGGAAAUGUAAGAUUAUAUAUUAAGUAUAUCAACAUUAUAAACCAUGCACGCUUAUUCACUUACAUAUAAACAAUUUUAUAAUAAAAAAUUCUUAGGGAUAUCAUUAUGUAUAAUUAUCAAUAUACUUACAUAUGGCAUAAUUUUCCAUAAACCGUUGUAUAAUAAAAAAAUCAUAGGGAUAUCAUUAUGUAUAAUUAUCAAUAACGUAUAAUCUUUGAAUAAAUUAGGUAUAUUAUUUGUAAUACUCUAUAUAUUGACUUAUUGUGUAACGACUCGAUCGGUCGUUUUGAGCCCUAGCGCAUCGUUCUGCAGUCUGAGGUCAUGAGUAGCUUCAUUUAAGGUAUUAUGAGUCGUACGCGUGGCCGGAAUUGAAUUUCGGGAAGUUUAGAGCUAAUUUGGAAAGAGAAUUCUUAUUUCGAAAAGUUGAAGGAAGGAAAUAUGAUUGGAAUUUUUAGUAAAUGACCUCAGAAUCGGGAUCUGAAGGUUACAGCAGAUUCGUAUGAUGAAUUAGAACUUGGGCAUAUGCCCGGUUCAGGUUUUGGAUAACCCGGAAGCGUUUUAGCGCCUAUUGUGUAAGUUAGCAUUUUGGGAGAAAUUUCUUAGGUUUGGCAUGAAGUGCAUUUCAGUGUUAUCGACGUCCGUUUGGGAUUUUGAGUCUGGGCUUAGCUCUAUAUGGUGAUUCUGGAAUUGGGAGCGGGAUCAGAAUUGAAUUCGGAGGUCCGUAGGUCAUUUUGGAGCCAUUUGGCUAAAGAUAGAAAUUUAAAGGUUUUGACCAGAAGUGGACUUUUUGAUAUCGGGGUUAGUCAUUUGGCUAAAGAUAGAAAUUUGAAGAUUUUGAAAAGUUUGACCAGAAGUGGACUUUUUGAUAUCAGGGUCAGAAUUCGAUAUCGAAAGUUUGAGUAGGUCCGUAAUAUCAAAUAUGACUUUUGUGCAAAAUAUUAGGUCAAUUGAACACGAUUUGAUACGUUUAAACAUCUGAAGUAGAAGCUUGAAAUUUCAAAGUUCAUAACGCUUGAAUUUGAGGUUGAUUCAUGAUUUUAGCGUUGUUUGAUAUGAUUUGAGGCCUCGAGCACUGAAGUAGAAGCUUGAAAUUUCAAAGUUCAUAAAGCUUGAAUUUGAGGUUGAUUCAUGAUUUUUGCGUUGUUUGAUAUGAUUUGAGGCCUCGAGAAAGCCCGUAAUGUAUUAUGGGACUGAUUGACAUGAUUGGGUUGGGUCCCGGGGGCCUCGGGUGGAUUCCUAAUGGUUAACUGAUCGAAAUUAGGAUUUUUUGACAGCUGAAGGAUAUGGAUGAUAUUUCCGUUUCUGCGGAAAAGGGACCGCAGAAGAGGGAAGGGGAGCCACAGAAGCAGAUUUUCGGUCAAGGCUCAAGGACCGCAGAUAUGGUCGAGAUUUCACAUAAGUGGGACCGAAUCUACGGAAGGCAGAAAACAGAAGCAAAAAUGGUCGGUCUAGUAGAAGCCGCAAAAGCGGUUGAUGAUCCGCAAAGGCGGGACCGUGGAAGCGGAAUUUCUUCCACAGAAGCAGAUAGCUGGGAGCAGAUGGGGUGUAUUAAAAUCGGGAUUUGUCCAUUUUCUCUCAUAUUUUCAUGGCUUGGGCAAUGUUAGGAGAGUUUCAACAUAGGAUCUUCAUCAUUAAUGAUAAGGUAAGUUAUCACAUAUAUUCAUGGCUUGGGUAACGUUUGGAGAGUUUCAACAUAGGAUCUUCAUCAUUAAUGAUAAGGUAAGUUAUCCCAAUCUAUUUGAAUCAAAAUACAUCAAUUAUAUAUGGAUUUGAACAUGAAAAUUGUAGAAAAACUUGGGGUUUAGGAAAGACCUAGAAAAUUAUUGUUCUUGAAAUUUGACCACUAUUUUGGGUAUGAAUUUAGAGAAAAUCAUAUAUUUGAGUUCGUGAGUUCAUAGAUAAAGUUUAUCUUCGAAAGAUAACGGAUCUCGGGCACGUGGCCCCGAGGGCAUUUUUGUCAACUAUCCAAUCGGGGUUAGGAAUUGCUAUAAAUUGGAUUAUAUUGAGUUCCUUAUCAUAUUUUAAUGGACUAGUAUAACCAUUUGGCUAGUUUUGGAGCAUUGUGCGUUGGUUCAAGUCUUCGGAAGAAUGUAGAAUGCUGGUUAUGGGUCUUCAGAGCGAGGUGAUUAUCCUUUCUAACCUUGUAAGAGCAAAUUGUCCCCAUAGGUGAGUUAAUUGGUUAUAUGCUUCUUCCUUUCUAACCUUGUAAGAGAAAAUUGUCCCCGUAGGUGAGUUAAUUGGUUAUGUGCUUCUAUUUGUAGGGGAUACGUACGCACGAGGUGACGAGAUUCUGUGCUUACCUACUCUUAUGCUAUUGUCCCGGUAGUCUAGUACCCAAAAGCAUGUUAUACUUGAAAUAAUUUAAAUCUUAUUGUCAGCUUGUACCGCUUAGAUCACAUUUAAUUAGUUAAUAAUUUCUAAAAAGAUUAAACUCCAUUUUUAUUAAAUUGUGAAAGGGGAAUUGGAUUUUAAUUGAUUGCGAACAGGAUAUGUGUUUAAAUUUUGGAAUGGUCCGAACGCCUUCGCAGAUUAAAUAAAUGCAUCUAUGGUUUGGAAUGUUUUGUAUGGCCCCGUGAAAAUGAGUGCUCAGAUGUUAGUAGCUCAUAGAGUCGAGUCUACCUACGUGGAUCAGAUCUUUUUUACCGUUUCACUUAUAAUGUGUGAUCUGAGAUGUUAGUAGAUCAUAGAGUCGAGUCUACCUACGUGGAUCGGAUCUUUUUUACCGUUUCACUUAUAAUGUGAGAUUGAAAUUUUUCCAGAAAACUUUCAAAAUGCGGUCGCAGAUCAGCUAUGCGGACCUUGUUCCUACCGCAUAAUGAAUCAGAGAGCAACCAAUUUUUGAUGUCAAAGAUGCGGCCAGAUCUCCGGUACUUCGUGACAGUACUACCUCGUACUCAGCACAAGUUUGACUCAAUUUGGGUAUUGUGGAUAGGCUCACCAAAUCAACUCACUUUUUGCCAGUCAAGUCCACCGAUAUUGCGAAACAAUACGCUCGGUUGUAUAUCAAAGAGAUAGCGAGGCUUCAUGGUACGCCACUUUCUAUCAUUUCGGAUCGAGGAGCUCAAUUUACAGCUAACAUUUGGAGGAAAUUUCAGCAAGGUUUGGGUACUCAAGUGAAUCUCAGCACAACUUUUCAUCCGCAGACCGAUGGCCAAACAGAGCGGACUACUCAGACGCUCGAGGAUAUGUUACGGGCAAGUGUCUUAGAUUUCAAAGGUAAUUGAGAUGAUCACAUGCCCUUUAUAGAGUUUGCUUAUAAUAAAAGCUUCCAUGCUGGCAUCCAGAUGGCCCCAUUCGAAGCAUUGUACGGAAGAAGGUGUAGGUCCCCGAUCGGGUGGUUCGAGGUUGGUGAUGCAGAAUUAAUAGGGCCAGAUCUCGUGCAUCAGGCCAUGGAGAAGGUAAGAGUCAUUCAGGAGAGGCUGGUGAAGCCGAAUUAAUAGAGCCAGAUCUCGUGUAUCAGGCCAUGGAGAAGGUAGGAGUCAUUCAGGAGAGGAUGAAGACUGCUCAAAGUCGCCAUUAAUCUUAUGCGGACGUGCAUCGAAGAGAAUUGAAGUUUCAAUAAGGAGAUUGGGUAUUCUUUAGGGUGUCCCCUAUGAAGGGAGUCAUGAGCUUUGGGAAGAAGGGAAAAAUAAGUCCUAGGUACGUCAGGCCUAAUCAACUCAAAGGAUCGGUCAAGUUGCGUAUAGGUUGGAAUUUCCCCUGAAAUAUCCUUGGUGCACCCGGUGUUUCAUUUAUCCAUGUUGAGGAAAGUUGUGGGUGAUCCGUCUAAAAUUGUGCCCGUGGAAGACAUCAAGGUUACAGAAGAGUUAUCAUAUGAAGAGAUUCCGGUUGCUAAUAUGGAUAGGCAGGUCCGAAAGUUACGGAACAAGGAUAUUGCUUCAGUUAAUGUGUUGUGACGAAACCAUCAAGUCAAGGAAGAAACUUGGGAAGCGGAGGAUGAGAUGCAGAUAAAAUAUCCCCAUCUAUUUGAGUAAGUCUAGGAAUGAUCAUGCGAAUCUUAUCCCUAGGAGAACUAGCGUUGUGUCCCAUUAGGUGUAAGAAACCUUCCUUCUCUUCCCAAGUGCCUUGCUAUUGUAGUUUCUCCAAGUUGUGCUAACAAACCUUAUGUGUUGUAACUAUUUGAGCAAUGUGCAGUCCUUUUUGGUAAUGAAAAUUUUGUGCUCCCACGGUAAGGUCAUGUAGGGAAGUAAUAAUUAAUUUUGCAUGGAAAUGGUGUAUCAAAGUGUUCUAAUUGUGUAAUGACUUGUUUUUCAUGGAGGAAUCGAAUUGAAAUGAAUAAUUGUGACGUACCAUUGAGAUAGGUAAACGGUUUUAAUAGUACAGGAAAUUAAUGCUUAAUUUGAUUACAUGUAGUGUGCCAAAAUGGUUAAAAAGUGUAUCGAGAGGUUGAAUAUGUGCAAGCAUGAAGAUCGUGCGCUUUUAUAUUGUUGUAAAGGUAGCGAGUUUGCAUAGUAAUACUUUGGAAUAUGUUUUGGGGGCUCUCUAACAGGUGGUUAUGUCCAUAUUACAAAGGAGAGUCUGCCAAAAUGUUUAUAAAACAAACUCGAAAGUUAAUAAAAGUGUAGGAACUUGCAUAUCAUGUUUUCAACUCAUUUGGUCCCAGAGUCCUCAUUUGAGGACGAAUGAUGUUAAGCGGGGGAGGAUGUAAGGCCACGUGAAAAUGAGUGCUCAGAUGUUAGCAGCUCGUAGAGUUGAGUCUACCUACAUGGAUCAGAUCCUUUUUACCGUUUUGCAAAAAUGAGUGCUCAGAUGUUAGCACCUCGUAGAGUUCAGUCUACCUACAUGGAUCAGAUCCUUUUUACCGUUUUGCACUUAAAAUGAGAAAUUGAAAUUUUUCCAGAAAAUUAUUAAAAUGCGGUCGCAGAUCAGCUAUGCAGACUGCAUUCCUACCGCAGAAUGAAUCAGAGAUGAAAACCAAUUUUUGAUGUCAAAGAUGCGGUCAGAUCUGCGGUCACUGUCUGUGACCGCAGAUGAGAAAUGCGGACCGCAUAUCUACCGCAUUCCCAACUUGAGAGGUUCGAAACUUGAGCCAUUUCUGCGGUCUAUUCUGCGGACCACAUGUCAGUUUUGCGACCGCAGAUUGCGUCGCAGAUCGUUGUUACUUGGUAUUUUUCUAAAAUUUUAGACUCGACCCAUAUUUUACUAAAACACCUUCUCCCUCAUUUUUAUCACAUUUCUGAUCAAAAUAAGAAAGAGGGAGAGAGGGUUCUUGAGUGAGAAAGUAAGUUCUUCAUCAUCUAGUCUUUCAAAACAUUUGGAGCUCGGUAAAUUGUUGGUGCAUUGUCUUCUCUACUGAUUUCUCAGGUAAUAUCCCUAACCCAUUUCCCCCAGAUUUCAAAGUUUAAGCUUGGGAAGUGAGCCCCAUACACUUGUUUUGAAAUUCUUCAUAAAACUCUCAUGCAUGCUCCUAAAACCCUAGAAUCUAGCUAAACAAGGAAUUUGGUAAUAACUACGAGUUUAAUUUCUAAAACCUAAAUGUUGCUCAAGGACUAGAUUGACUUCUUGAUUGCUUGGCAAAUUGGAGUAGAGGUUUGAAGGGUAUAAUAGACUCCAGGUAUGUAUGGCUAACUGUGAUCCUUCUGAAAUCGCCCUGUGUUAGUUGUGAAUUUGUUUGAUAAUUGACAUUCAUGUGGGGAUCAUUCUGAAACUCUUGUGACACAUACUUGUGUGGUAACACUUUGUGGUGGAAGUUGAGGAACUUGUAUUGAAAGAGUUUGGAAAUAAUGGAAGCGAAAAUAUUAUGGAACAACGUGUAUGAUUGGUUGUGAAUAUUUGUUGUGGUAACCCAAAUUGUGUACAAAGUUGAUUAACAUGAGAAAAUUAUUGUUGCUAGUUGAGGAAAUACAUUACCUUUGUUGUGGUUCUAUCUUAAUAAUGUGCUAUAGUUGAUUUCUUGUAAUUGUUGUUGUGUUGUAUGUUGUUGUGAAUUGAAACAGUCAAGCGAGGUCGGGUUGCGCGCCGCAACACGGUGAAAUAAGGUGUGGGUUGGGGUGAUAAGGGUGGCCGAGGUAAUAAGGAUGGACGAGGUAAUAAGGGUGAAAAAUGGGAUCUAAUAUCACUAUUGAUAUGAAUACAAAAUUAUGAAAUGGGAGUGGGUUGCACGCAUGCAAUAGUACUGUAUGAAAUGGGAUAAGGUUGAACGCCUGCAAUGGUAUACCAAAGUCAACUCAAAUAGAUUACAACACACUGGCCAGCACAAUACAUCUGGCUCCUUAAUCACGAUACAAACCCACAAGACCGUGAAAAUACGGAUCAUGGUCCAUUUGCUCUAAAUAUUGACCGAAGUCAACUCAAAUAGAUUUUUAAGGCAAAAUUAUAUAUUUUAUUAAUUUUUAACAUAAAAGCUUUUUGAAAGGCAAAUCCAGAAAGGUUUAAAGAAGCUAUUGGAGGCUUCGAACAUAAUAUUACGGUUUAAAACUCUAGGUCAUCACAUAUACAUAUAUCUAUCAUAUAUACCAGGGACACCAACUAAUUUUAAGUUUUUUAUCUUAUCAUUGAUGAGAUAAUUUAUAGUAAUAUAUAUAUAUAAUCGUUCCCAGCCAGACAUUACUACCUAAAUUACGACGAAGGUAGUAAUAUAGAAAUAAUACCACAUAAAAUAAAAUGGAAGGGACACUAGUUAAGCCCCUUUAAUUUACGACAAUAAUAAUAAAUUUGUUGCAAUCCUACAAGUGAGGUCUGAAAUGGUAGCGUAUACAUAAAUCUUACUCGUACCUUGUGAAAAUCAAGAGAUUAUUUCCAACAAUUAUGUUAAUCUAGUAAUUAAGUCCCUCUAAUUUAGAUAUUCGAUUUCACUUUUUACAGUACUAAGGGUUGGCAAUCAAUCAAAGACUUAACGAAAUGUUAUCAAAAGUAUUAAAAAAAAUUAGAGAUGCUAAAAGGUAUAUAAACAUAAAAGACUUGCAAUACAAAGAGAACAAAUAAUUUAUUAAUUAUAUCUCCAUCAAUUUAAAUAAGCAUAAAUUGAGAUACUUAACUAUUUCACUAAGAACUUUUAACAUUAAAUUGAGAUUUACAGCACACUGGCCAGCACCAUACAUCACAUUUUGAGUCUUUCCUUUGAGGCAUCGUCAGACGAAAAGAGCGGCUAAUUUUAUCUUGGGUUAUAACAUCAAUUCCUUUCACUCUCACUGAUGGGGAAUCUUAAAAUGAAGAUUCACCUAUACUACACCAUACAGAGAAAAUAAGGAAGAAGAUGACUAUAACCAUUGCUUUGGUAAUUUCAGUGAUGGGGAAUCUUCAAAUGAAGAUUCACCUAAACUACAGCAUACAGAGAAAAUAAGGAAGAAGAUGACUAUAACCAUUGCUUUGGUAAUCUUCAUGCUUAUAUUGCUAAUUAGUUAAGAU
RNAcentral lists this long non-coding RNA (8261 nucleotides) under Nicotiana benthamiana. Its description in RNAcentral is "long non-coding RNA (NBEN_LNC009440)". The record is from RNAcentral. Lineage: Eukaryota; Viridiplantae; Streptophyta; Magnoliopsida; Solanales; Solanaceae.